Molecule: ribosomal RNA, 253 nt
Filed under: uncultured bacterium
Lineage: Bacteria
Description: partial 16S ribosomal RNA
Rfam family: Bacterial small subunit ribosomal RNA
Source: RNAcentral
UACGGAGGGUGCAAGCGUUAUCCGGAUUUACUGGGUUUAAAGGGUGCGUAGGUGGGUUGGGAAGUCAGUGGUGAAAUACUUUCGCUUAACGAAGGAACUGCCAUUGAUACUAUCAAUCUUGAAUGUAGUGGAGGUAGGCGGAAUGCGUCAUGUAGCGGUGAAAUGCUUAGAUAUGUAUUAGAACACCGAUUGCGAAGGCAGUUCACUAGGCUUGUAUUGACACUGAGGCUCGAAAGCGUGGGGAUCAAACAGG